RNAcentral lists this ribosomal RNA (515 nucleotides) under uncultured bacterium. RNAcentral's name for it is "partial 16S ribosomal RNA". It matches the Rfam family "Bacterial small subunit ribosomal RNA", at positions 28 to 523 of the family's 1533-position model. The record is from RNAcentral.
GAUGAACGCUGGCGGCGUGCCUAAUACAUGCAAGUCGAGCGAAUGGAUUAAGAGCUUGCUCUUAUGAAGUUAGCGGCGGACGGGUGAGUAACACGUGGGUAACCUGCCCAUAAGACUGGGAUAACUCCGGGAAACCGGGGCUAAUACCGGAUAACAUUUUGAACCGCGUGGUUCGAAAUUGAAAGGCGGCUUCGGCUGUCACUUAUGGAUGGACCCGCGUCGCAUUAGCUAGCUGGUGAGGUAACGGCUCACCAAGGCAACGAUGCGUAGCCGGACUGAGAGGGUGGUCGAUCACACUGAGACUGGGACACGGCCCAGACUCUUAGGUGAGGCAGCGUUAGGGAGUCUUCCGCAAUGGUCGAAGGUCUGACGUCGCAACGCCGCGUGGGUGAUGAAGGCUUUCGGGUCGGAAAACUCUGUUGUUAGGGAAGAACAAGUGCUAGUUGAAUAAGCUGGCACCUUGACGGUACCUAACCAGAAAGCCACGGCUAACUGCGUGCCAGCCGCUGCAGUAA